RNAcentral lists this microRNA precursor (91 nucleotides) under Paramuricea clavata. The record is from RNAcentral. Lineage: Eukaryota; Metazoa; Cnidaria; Anthozoa; Malacalcyonacea; Plexauridae.
CAAGUUUGGUGUUUAUGACGUCGAUAUUCGACGUCAUAAACACCAUCAAGUUUGGUGUUUAUGAUGUCGAAUAUCGACGUCAUAAACACCA